This 372-nucleotide ribosomal RNA is filed under the name uncultured organism. Its description in RNAcentral is "partial 16S ribosomal RNA". It matches the Rfam family "Bacterial small subunit ribosomal RNA", at positions 527 to 896 of the family's 1533-position model. The record is from RNAcentral.
GUAGGUGGCAAGCGUUGUCCGGAAUUAUUGGGCGUAAAGCGCGCGCAGGCGGUCCUUUAAGUCUGAUGUGAAAGCCCACGGCUCAACCGUGGAGGGUCAUUGGAAACUGGGGGACUUGAGUACAGAAGAGGAAAGCGGAAUUCCAAGUGUAGCGGUGAAAUGCGUAGAGAUUUGGAGGAACACCAGUGGCGAAGGCGGCUUUCUGGUCUGUAACUGACGCUGAGGCGCGAAAGCGUGGGGAGCAAACAGGGAUUAGAUACCCUGGUAGUCCACGCCGUAAACGAUGAGUGCUAAGUGUUAGGGGGUUUCCCGCCCCCUAGUGCUGCAGCUAACGCAUUAAGCACUCCGCCUGGGGAGUACGCCGCAAGGCUG